ACCUACAGAACCUGAAGGCAACACAAGCUCAUGUGUGAUGCUUUCAUUUACUCUCCUAUCGUGUGUGUGUGUGGCUCUUUUGUUCAAAAAAUAAAAUAAAAUUAUGAUGAUAUUAAUAGAAGUACUGAUUUGAUUAAUCCUGUGUGAGAUUUACAGAAACAGGUUGUGUCUCUCUGUAGUUAAUAGCAGGAAAUGAUCAGGAGGUGUUCCUGUUUCAACCUUCUCUUUGUUUCAACCACUGACUUCGGAUGAGAAAGUGUUCAGAUGAACAACGUCAAACUGCAUCCCACCCUCUGGCUAAAGUUUGUGUGUUCAGCCUGCAUGUUGUGAAAUCCUGCUGGACACAUCCCAGAGAACCCACAGCACACUGUUAGUGUAACUGCAGGGUAAAACACACCAGAGUCAGACAUUAUCUCACCACAAUGACCAGGAAACAAUGUGUGAGGUGUGUUUCUUGUUUCAGGUUCCUGGUGAGUGGGGCAUGUUUCCAGGUCCGGGACCCUGCAUUCUAACGCUGUAUAAUCUGCUGCUGUCACUUCAUUCGGCACUCUGCGCUCUCCUUCCUGCCAUUGUCAUGUCUUUUAUCCUGUCUUUCUCCCCUCACCCUCAACUGGUCACAGCUCUCCCUGAGCCUGGUUCUGCUGGAGGUCUCUUACUGUUAAAAGACCAGAAAAUCUUCACAGCAGAGUCCGGACAGAACGUCACUCUGCCAUGUCGAGCUCCAAAUAUCACUGUUCCCAUCAGAGCUGUGGAGUGGUUCAGACUUGACCAGCUGGAAGGACAUGUCCUCAUGUACCGGGAGGAGCAGUUUGUUUCAUUCAACCAGCUUCAUUCGUUUGUGAACCGGGUGGAUCUGCAGGACAGACGGAUGAAGGACGGAGACGUGUCUUUGGUUCUGAAGGAUGUGACGAGGAAUGACACUGGGACAUAUCAGUGUUAUGUCAUUCAGAGAGAAACGAACCACAGGAAGAGUGUUGUGGAACAUAUCAGCAUCAUCUACCUGAGUGUUGAUCCUCCAGGUCAGACAGGAGGACACACAGAGGAUGGAGGGAAGGAGGAUGUAGGGAAGGAGGCAGGAUCUGUUGGACUGAAUGUUUGUCAUCUUUUGCUUCUUGCAGCUGUUGUUGCUUUUUCUGUGACCUUUAAAAAAUCAAAAGCACAGCAGAAGCAGAAUUACUACAAACCUCCAGCUGAACAGAUCGUUGCAAGGUUUCAGAUGCCGUAACAGCUGAAUUGUGAGUGAACUCCUGCUGUUCUUAGUAUUGCAACAGGACAGAUAAAGGUUGGUAAUGCUGGAUAAAUAGAAGCUCGGAGUCUGUAUAGGUCUACCAUGUCGGGUCAGAUUCUUAUAUGCAACACCCAAAAUUACAGCCAUUCCUUCCUUAUCAGUGUGUUUAGGAAAAGAUAACAUAAGAGAAGAUAAACCUUUAUUAGUCCCACAUGUGGGAAUUUUGGGGGGAAAUCCCACCAACAUAAGAUUAGGAACAUUAGAAUCAAAGUGGUUCAAAUAGGCCUCACAUGCAUGUAAUGUAUUUUAAUUGCACUACAUUAAACAGGACUCUGUGUCAGCCUUUAACAAUGCGUUGUUCCACACUUAGUCACUACAGUAA
Oreochromis niloticus (Nile tilapia) is the source of this 1610-nucleotide long non-coding RNA. RefSeq lists it as uncharacterized. NCBI's taxonomy places the organism in Eukaryota, Metazoa, Chordata, Actinopteri, Cichliformes, Cichlidae. The transcript has 4 exons. The record is from RefSeq and is a predicted model, not a curated record.